This is a long non-coding RNA of Peromyscus leucopus (white-footed mouse), 1045 nucleotides long. RefSeq lists it as uncharacterized. The transcript has 3 exons. The record is from RefSeq and is a predicted model, not a curated record. Lineage: Eukaryota; Metazoa; Chordata; Mammalia; Rodentia; Cricetidae.
UGAACUCACAGAGAUCCGCCUGGCUCUGCCUCCCGAGUGCUGGGAUUAAAGGCGAGUGCCACCGCUGCCCGGCCCAAGGAAAUAUUCUAUCCACAAUUUUUUCAAAUACAGCUAAGUUUCUUGUUGUGGCCACACCGUUCCUUAGUAGGUCGAAUUGGGAUUGCAAAUUUAUACAGAUCACUUCUUGCAGCCUCACACUUGGGCUUAUGUCUUAGAAACCACUAAUUAACUGAUCACUUUAACUUAAGAUAAUAAGAAAAUCUAGAUGGCAAGUGAGGGUUUAAAACCCACAGGAAAAACUAGGGUUAGGGACACUGCGUCUAACCCAGCACUCAGGAGUUUAGGCAGGUCGAUAACCCUGAGUUCCGAACCAGUCUGGGCUACAAUGUGAGUACCAGAUCAGCCUGGGCAAGACUGAUCUAGUAAAACAGUGAGGCUCUGUUUCCAAAAGUCUCAAAACAAUGAAAUUCAUGAUACAGACCUUUUCAUCGAAAUACGGAGCGCGGGCCCGUUUUCAGGACCACGGACAGCGCACACAGAAUCGCUCUCUCAUAUUAUUGGUGCUGAAAAUGGUUCUCUGACUGCUGAGGGGACUUAAUUAGCUUCAGAAUUUACAAACCCUGUUCCACAUCCGUCAUUUCAUUCCUCGCCGGCCUCGCCUUCAAGGCGAUCAUUGUUGGCUCUGUGACACAGAGGAAGCAACCGAGACUUAGGAGGUCCAUGAGACACCGAAAGUGGCGAGAACCAGCUUUGAUUUCGGCAGAAUGACGCUGGAGCAGAACCAAGUAUAUUGAGAGGGCUGUGGCAGUGUUUCAGGUAUCCUACGCAAAAUGGUUCCAGCAGUCUGAGUACUUCUCUUUGAUAUCAAAGACUCAGGCAGUGGAUUGUUGAGAGUCCUCUUGGUGGGCACAUCUGAAGGGUGUUGCCAGAUGGAUGACGUGCCUACUUGGAGCUUUCUGGAGAGUUAUAUGUGUCCCUUUAUGGAGAAUCUACCAAGGCCUGGAACUUAGGCUCACCUUAUAAUAAACCUACAUGGUCACCCACA